Molecule: long non-coding RNA, 223 nt
Filed under: Hordeum vulgare
Lineage: Eukaryota; Viridiplantae; Streptophyta; Magnoliopsida; Poales; Poaceae
Description: long non-coding RNA (HVUL_LNC019817)
Source: RNAcentral
UUCAUAAAAGCCUCUGUUCUUCACCGGUCCAGGGAUGGGGUGGAUCGGGAUGGUCCGGUCCCGAUUUGGCUGAGGAGGAGGCCGGUCCAUCUACGGCGGCUCCGGCGCCGGCGAGCGUCGCGGCGGUGGACAGAGGUGGAGGCGAGGCCGAGGGGCUCGUGGGGCGGCCGGAUCCAUGACGAGUCGGGCCGGAUCUGGCGGCGGGCGCAACACACCAUGUGGC